Molecule: transfer RNA, 72 nt
Filed under: Ictidomys tridecemlineatus (thirteen-lined ground squirrel)
Lineage: Eukaryota; Metazoa; Chordata; Mammalia; Rodentia; Sciuridae
Description: Spermophilus tridecemlineatus (thirteen-lined ground squirrel) tRNA
Rfam family: tRNA
About the family: Transfer RNA (tRNA) molecules are approximately 80 nucleotides in length. Their secondary structure includes four short double-helical elements and three loops (D, anti-codon, and T loops). Further hydrogen bonds mediate the characteristic L-shaped molecular structure. tRNAs have two regions of fundamental functional importance: the anti-codon, which is responsible for specific mRNA codon recognition, and the 3' end, to which the tRNAs corresponding amino acid is attached (by aminoacyl-tRNA synthetases). tRNAs cope with the degeneracy of the genetic code in two manners: having more than one tRNA (with a specific anti-codon) for a particular amino acid; and 'wobble' base-pairing, i.e. permitting non-standard base-pairing at the 3rd anti-codon position.
Source: Rfam by way of RNAcentral
GAGGUUGUGGCUCAGUGGCAGAGCGCUUGCCUAGCAUGUGUGAGGCACUGGGUUCAAUCCUCAGCAGCACCA